RNAcentral lists this ribosomal RNA (666 nucleotides) under Pomadasys kaakan (javelin grunt). RNAcentral describes it as "partial 12S ribosomal RNA". It matches the Rfam family "Bacterial small subunit ribosomal RNA", at positions 513 to 1491 of the family's 1533-position model. The record is from RNAcentral. Lineage: Eukaryota; Metazoa; Chordata; Actinopteri; Lutjaniformes; Haemulidae.
CACCGCGGUUAUACGAGAGGCCCAAGCUGACAAUCGCCGGCGUAAAGAGUGGUUAAGAUUAAAUAUGAGACUAAAGCCGAAAGCCCUCACAGCUGUUAUACGCAAUCGAGGGUAAGAAGCUCAAUUACGAAAGUAGCUUUACACCAUCUGACCCCACGAAAGCUAGGGCACAAACUGGGAUUAGAGACCCCACUAUGCCCAGCCUUAAACAUUGACAGUUCAUUACACAUGCUGUCCGCCCGGGAACUACUAGCGCUAGCUUAAAACCCGAAGGACUUGGCGGUGCUUUAGAUCCACCUAGAGGAGCCUGUUCUAGAACCGAUGAUCCCCGUUCAACCUCACCCUUCCUUGUUCAUCCCGCCUAUAUACCACCGUCGUCAGCUUACCCUGUGAAGGCCCAAUAGUAAGCAAGAUUGGCACUGCCCAAAACGCCAGGUCGAGGUGUAGCGUAUGGAAGGGGAAGCAAUGGGCUACAUUCACUACAAUAGUGAACACGAACAGUGCACUGAAACGUGCUCAUUGAAGGAGGAUUUAGCAGUAAGCAGAAAAUAGAGUGUUCCGCUGAAACCGGCCCUGAAGCGCGCACAUACCGCCCGUCACUCUCCCCAAAUUCCACUAAUUCAAAUGCUUAAGCCCUGAGAACAAAGAAGGGGAGGCAAGUCGUAA